UCCAGCACAGCAGGCCGGGCAGGCCGAGCUGGGGGUGCAGGGACUGUGGCCUCCUGGUCCCUGCUCCCGUGUGCCCAGCAGAGCGCAGAAAUUGCCUGUUACCUCGGGUCCAUUUGUCAUGCACUCCUAAAUUGCUUUGUAUUGACACGCUGUCAGAAAUGGAUUGUCACAUUAACCCAGCCACAGCCGGGCUUGCAGGCCCGUGCUGUUGGACCGAUCUCCCUACAGGUGGAGGCGGGCUGGCUUCCUCUUGGGUUUGUGGAGAUGUUUUCCAGCACUUUCUAAUUAUGAUUCCGAUGAGCCAGUGAAAGCUACAGCACCAGUCCCUGGCAGAAGAGGAGUGUUGGAGCUGAGCUUUUCCCCUCACAGACACAACCCUCCAAUCAUACUGCAGAGAUGUUUCCUGGGCAGGUCCCUGCUGUGUGAUCUUUCAUUUGGAGUUCACCUCUACAGUUUAUGGCGGUUUCCAGGAUAACGUUCCAGCUGGAGAGCCUCUCGACUCCAUCUUGUGCUGGCUUUUCUCCUUUUAAAGGACACUUCUCAUCUUUCAAAAAAAACCCCAACAGGAUGCUAAAGGAAUCACUUCCCAUGUUGUGGAGGAAGAUCCCCCACCUGCUGCCUGGAGAUACCCUGAACAUGUGAGCAGUGUCUGGAGGAUUGCUCUGAUUGUUGUGAUGAUUGCCUCAAUCCAUAAGAAUUUAAAGAAAAAUACCUUUUGAUUAGUCAGCCCAGCCUCACACAAGAAAACCAGGCAUCCCCAGUCAGCCAGAUCAUUUCCAUUCACAGUGAGAGGAAACUAAAUAAUUCAGUGCCAGACAGCAGCAUCGAUGCAGCUGGAGGCUUAUAAUCUGCAGUGUACCAAAACAAUAAAUGCCCAUCGAGUAAACUCUUUUGCCUCUGUAUCAGAGUGCAAAUCCAAGCUGGAUCCCUGGAACUGUUGAUACCUAGAGGCCCCUACCUCACUUCCAUUGGGGAUGUAGAUGGAAGUCUGUUUCCUGGAUGGCAUGCAUUGUGUCUUUCUAAUUCUUCUCUCCUGUGGCUGUGGCUGGGCUUUCACUCAACUUACAGCAUGACCCCCAGCACAAAGGAUGGCCAGAAACAUGGUGGCCACAGCACCUAGAAGCCUGGAGCCUUCCUGCACCCACUCCUCACUUUGCAGAGAUGUAGUUCAGAGUGAUUGGAGAUGAUCAUGGAUAUUCACUGACCUGCAAGAGCAAGCUGGGGAAGCCUCUAGCAAGUUUGCAGCUGUUCCCAUCUGAAUGACCAUCAUCUGGCCUAAACAGGGCCAUUUUCUUCAAGACAGUCAUCUGUGUAUCCCAUUCAGCUCUGUACACAGUUAGAAGCACAUGGGCUUCUGUUCGUCCGGUCUUUGUGCUGAACUGCAGCUCUGCUGUGGGCUUUUUUCUAUGCAUCAUUUAAAAUAGCACAGAGUUAAACAUCUAUUUUAAAAUAGCUUUGUUAAAAAAAGAAAAGCUUACUCCCCAUGGCAAUCAAAGGAAGAAAGAAUAACCUCCCCACAGCACCCGCCAAGUUUCA
Passer domesticus (house sparrow) is the source of this 1536-nucleotide long non-coding RNA. RefSeq lists it as uncharacterized. Lineage: Eukaryota; Metazoa; Chordata; Aves; Passeriformes; Passeridae. The record is from RefSeq and is a predicted model, not a curated record. The transcript has 7 exons.